RNAcentral lists this ribosomal RNA (425 nucleotides) under uncultured bacterium. RNAcentral describes it as "partial 16S ribosomal RNA". It matches the Rfam family "Bacterial small subunit ribosomal RNA", at positions 354 to 796 of the family's 1533-position model. The record is from RNAcentral.
GUGGGGAAUCAUGCGCAAUGGGCGAAAGCCUGACGCAGCCAUGCCGCGUGAAUGAUGAAGGUCUUAGGAUUGUAAAAUUCUUUCACCGGGGACGAUAAUGACGGUACCCGGAGAAGAAGCCCCGGCUAACUUCGUGCCAGCAGCCGCGGUAAUACGAAGGGGGCUAGCGUUGCUCGGAAUUACUGGGCGUAAAGGGCGCGUAGGCGGACAGUUUAGUCAGAGGUGAAAGCCCAGGGCUCAACCUUGGAAUUGCCUUUGAGACUGGCUGUCUUGAGUACGGGAGAGGUGAGUGGAACUCCGAGUGUAGAGGUGAAAUUCGUAGAUAUUCGGAAGAACACCAGUGGCGAAGGCGACUCACUGGCCCGUUACUGACGCUGAGGCGCGAAAGCGUGGGGAGCAAACAGGAUUAGAAACCCUAGUAGUCC